RNAcentral lists this ribosomal RNA (1733 nucleotides) under Escherichia coli. RNAcentral describes it as "partial 23S ribosomal RNA". It matches the Rfam family "Bacterial large subunit ribosomal RNA", at positions 1 to 1774 of the family's 2925-position model. The record is from RNAcentral. Lineage: Bacteria; Pseudomonadati; Pseudomonadota; Gammaproteobacteria; Enterobacterales; Enterobacteriaceae.
GUUAAGCGACUAAGCGUACACGGUGGAUGCCCUGGCAGUCAGAGGCGAUGAAGGACGUGCUAAUCUGCGAUAAGCGUCGGUAAGGUGAUAUGAACCGUUAUAACCGGCGAUUUCCGAAUGGGGAAACCCAGUGUGAUUCGUCACACUAUCAUUAACUGAAUCCAUAGGUUAAUGAGGCGAACCGGGGGAACUGAAACAUCUAAGUACCCCGAGGAAAAGAAAUCAACCGAGAUUCCCCCAGUAGCGGCGAGCGAACGGGGAGCAGCCCAGAGCCUGAAUCAGUGUGUGUGUUAGUGGAAGCGUCUGGAAAGGCGCGCGAUACAGGGUGACAGCCCCGUACACAAAAAUGCACAUACUGUGAGCUCGAUGAGUAGGGCGGGACACGUGGUAUCCUGUCUGAAUAUGGGGGGACCAUCCUCCAAGGCUAAAUACUCCUGACUGACCGAUAGUGAACCAGUACCGUGAGGGAAAGGCGAAAAGAACCCCGGCGAGGGGAGUGAAAAAGAACCUGAAACCGUGUACGUACAAGCAGUGGGAGCACGCUUAGGCGUGUGACUGCGUACCUUUUGUAUAAUGGGUCAGCGACUUAUAUUCUGUAGCAAGGUUAACCGAAUAGGGGAGCCGAAGGGAAACCGAGUCUUAACUGGGCGUUAAGUUGCAGGGUAUAGACCCGAAACCCGGUGAUCUAGCCAUGGGCAGGUUGAAGGUUGGGUAACACUAACUGGAGGACCGAACCGACUAAUGUUGAAAAAUUAGCGGAUGACUUGUGGCUGGGGGUGAAAGGCCAAUCAAACCGGGAGAUAGCUGGUUCUCCCCGAAAGCUAUUUAGGUAGCGCCUCGUGAAUUCAUCUCCGGGGGUAGAGCACUGUUUCGGCAAGGGGGUCAUCCCGACUUACCAACCCGAUGCAAACUGCGAAUACCGGAGAAUGUUAUCACGGGAGACACACGGCGGGUGCUAACGUCCGUCGUGAAGAGGGAAACAACCCAGACCGCCAGCUAAGGUCCCAAAGUCAUGGUUAAGUGGGAAACGAUGUGGGAAGGCCCAGACAGCCAGGAUGUUGGCUUAGAAGCAGCCAUCAUUUAAAGAAAGCGUAAUAGCUCACUGGUCGAGUCGGCCUGCGCGGAAGAUGUAACGGGGCUAAACCAUGCACCGAAGCUGCGGCAGCGACGCUGAUGCGUUGUUGGGUAGGGGAGCGUUCUGUAAGCCUGUGAAGGUGUGCUGUGAGGCAUGCUGGAGGUAUCAGAAGUGCGAAUGCUGACAUAAGUAACGAUAAAGCGGGUGAAAAGCCCGCUCGCCGGAAGACCAAGGGUUCCUGUCCAACGUUAAUCGGGGCAGGGUGAGUCGACCCCUAAGGCGAGGCCGAAAGGCGUAGUCGAUGGGAAACAGGUUAAUAUUCCUGUACUUGGUGUUACUGCGAAGGGGGGACGGAGAAGGCUAUGUUGGCCGGGCGACGGUUGUCCCGGUUUAAGCGUGUAGGCUGGUUUUCCAGGCAAAUCCGGAAAAUCAAGGCUGAGGCGUGAUGACGAGGCACUACGGUGCUGAAGCAACAAAUGCCCUGCUUCCAGGAAAAGCCUCUAAGCAUCAGGUAACAUCAAAUCGUACCCCAAACCGACACAGGUGGUCAGGUAGAGAAUACCAAGGCGCUUGAGAGAACUCGGGUGAAGGAACUAGGCAAAAUGGUGCCGUAACUUCGGGAGAAGGCACGCUGAUAUGUAGGUGAAGCGACUUGCUC